RNAcentral lists this ribosomal RNA (301 nucleotides) under uncultured bacterium. RNAcentral describes it as "partial 16S ribosomal RNA". It matches the Rfam family "Bacterial small subunit ribosomal RNA", at positions 509 to 807 of the family's 1533-position model. The record is from RNAcentral.
CAGCCGCCGCGGUAAUACAGAGGGUGCAAGCGUUAAUCGGAUUUACUGGGCGUAAAGCGUGCGUAGGUGGCUGUUUAAGUCGGAUGUGAAAGCCCUGGGCUUAACCUGGGAACUGCAUUCGAUACUGGAUAGCUAGAGAUCGGUAGAGGGCAGCGGAACUCCGGGUGUAGCGGUGAAAUGCGUAGAUAUCCGGAGGAACACCGAUGGCGAAGGCAACUGCCUGGGCCUGAUCUGACACUGAGGCACGAAAGCGUGGGGAGCAAACAGGAUUAGAUACCCCAGUAGUCCCUGUCUCUUAUAC